GAGGCCUAGAGCUUGCCCAGAGAAUACCAAAGAAAAAUUCUUUUGAAGACCAUUGCAGAUAGUCAACUUUGGAGCGCUACUAGAAUGCAAAAUGAUAAAACAAGAC
RNAcentral lists this long non-coding RNA (106 nucleotides) under Fukomys damarensis (Damara mole-rat). RNAcentral's name for it is "lncRNA (ENSFDAG00000029623.1)". Lineage: Eukaryota; Metazoa; Chordata; Mammalia; Rodentia; Bathyergidae. The record is from RNAcentral.